Long non-coding RNA from Xenia sp. Carnegie-2017, 293 nucleotides. RefSeq lists it as uncharacterized. The transcript is spliced from 3 exons. The record is from RefSeq and is a predicted model, not a curated record. Lineage: Eukaryota; Metazoa; Cnidaria; Anthozoa; Malacalcyonacea; Xeniidae.
UGAUAUGAUUGGUGAUACACUGGGUGAGGUCUUGCAAAAAACCUCAAUACUCCACAAGGAAAAAGAUGAAGAGCUUAAGAAAAAAUUUGCCAAAGAAUUUUAAGAAGAGGUUCUACUAAAUGCAUUAAAUCUCUUGGAAAAAACCUCAAGUAUUCCAAGGGAAAAUAUUUUGUUCCUGAUAAGCUGACCUAUGCUGAUGUAAACUUUUUUGCCACUAUGGAUCUGCUUUUCCUGGAAAUAAAAGAAGAUAUUCCACCCAUUUUGGAUAAUUAUCCUUGUUUAAAUGAACUUUA